This 468-nucleotide ribosomal RNA is filed under the name uncultured bacterium. RNAcentral's name for it is "partial 16S ribosomal RNA". It matches the Rfam family "Bacterial small subunit ribosomal RNA", at positions 28 to 507 of the family's 1533-position model. The record is from RNAcentral.
GACGAACGCUGGCGGCGUGCUUAACACAUGCAAGUCGAACGGGAAGGCCCUGCUUUUGUGGGGUGCUCGAGUGGCGAACGGGUGAGUAACACGUGAGUAACCUGCCCUUGACUUUGGGAUAACUUCAGGAACCUGGGGCUAAUACCGGAUAGGAGCUCCUGCUGCAUGGUGGGGGUUGGAAAGUUUCGGCGGUUGGGGAUGGACUCGCGGCUUAUCAGCUUGUUGGUGGGGUAGUGGCUUACCAAGGCUUUGACGGGUAGCCGGCCUGAGAGGGUGACCGGCCACAUUGGGACUGAGAUACGGCCCAGACUCCUACGGGAGGCAGCAGUGGGGAAUAUUGCACAAUGGGCGGAAGCCUGAUGCAGCAACGCCGCGUGCGGGAUGACGGCCUUCGGGUUGUAAACCGCUUUCGCCUGUGACGAAGCGUGAGUGACGGUAAUGGGUAAAGAAGCACCGGCUAACUACGUG